Long non-coding RNA from Rosa chinensis, 2209 nucleotides. RefSeq lists it as uncharacterized. NCBI's taxonomy places the organism in Eukaryota, Viridiplantae, Streptophyta, Magnoliopsida, Rosales, Rosaceae. The transcript has 12 exons. The record is from RefSeq and is a predicted model, not a curated record.
AAACAAAGUCUGCAUAACUCUUCUAUAUCCUCCUCGAAACUUGAGAAGAAUCUGAGUUUUUAUCUUUCCUUCUGUAAUGCAAAAUUUACUAUAUACCAAAGAUGAGUUACUGUUCCUAAGGGUCCGAUUUAAAGUGAUGGUUUUGCCCUCGUUCGAGAUUUUUUAUGCGGUUCUGCCACUGAGCUGUACUAGAAUCAGUUUCUUCUUUCUUCUACGGCCAUCCGAUUCUUCUCUCUCCUGUUGGUUUCUCUCUUCCUCCCUUCUGCCCGCCCCUAGGUUCAUCAAGCUAUCGCCAUCGAAGAAGUACAGCAACACUGCAACCACACAUUUUCGUAGCAGGAGAUAGUUUCUCUGUACGAGAGGUUCUGUCAGCUCGAUCGCAGCGGCGGAGGUUUCAUCUUCGCCGACGAGUUUUCUGUCCGUACCGGAAUUCGCAGUCAAUCCUCUCUCUCAGUUUUGGCUGGGUGGACGUAGAUACUGGGGGAGAGGGAUUGGAGCAAGACCAUAUAAGCAAGAUCUUCACUUCUUUUUCGUUUCCAGGACCCUCUAUCAAUAUCAGCACUUCUGUUCGCCGACAUCAGAAACAUCCAUCAACAUCAAUACCUAUCACGGCCUGCUCCCAAACUGAGAGAGGAAGAUUUGACUAAAAUCAAAUAGAAAAGGAACUUAACUGAUUCGACGAAGCACAAGAGAACGGCUUUGAGUCUGAGUUUAUUUGAGGGUCUUUACUUACAGAGGUUGCUCUCGAGAAGGGACUGUGGUGUUCUGAUUUCUGCUUUCUGCUUUUGAUGGAUUUGGCAAGAGUGAGGAUCGCAGACUCCACCCCUGUAACUAUAUCUAAGACGGUCCAACUCUCAUAUACGAAGCUUAUUAUAGGGUGGCUUAACUACUACACGAUGGUUGAGAAAUUUGAUUCAUCAAGGGGGUUCAAAAUCUCUACUUAUGUUUACUGGUGGAUACGUCAGGGGAGACCACUCUUUUCAAUUUAAAUGGUCAACAACUUGGGUGUUUCAAGAGCACUGGUUGAAAAUUCCAGAACCUUACUACUGCCUACACAUGUGCAUGAGAGGUUAGGGUUAAUCAAAAAUGCAAAAGUUAGAUUGGAAGAGAAACGAAUAACUCCAUCUAUCGAUAGGAUUGCAGAAAGCCUGAAUAUGUCCAAAAAGAAAGUUAGGAAGUUACUCAGAACGAGUUACAGCGUCAAGCACGAACCACACUUGCAUCAUGAUAAAUCCACGCAUUCCACAGGCGCAACAAUAUAAACUGAGUAUCAAGUGCUCGACAAACCAAGAGAGGCCAACACCUUAUGAAAUGAAUAUCUAAAAGCACCAAAAGUGCGUUCUACCUGCAACCAGUUUUUAUAAAAUCCUUCAAUGUAGACCCUCUUUUGAGUCUCUUUAGCUGGAGACCCAAACACAAGACACAGCUAAAGAAUAGUUUAUCCCUUCCUUGGAAGGUGGAACUAGCUCAUGGUUUUGUGAUGUCGAGGGUGAAAGAAGGAGGCAGCAGUGAUGAGGAUAAUCAAGCGGUGAACAUGUCACGUUUAAUAAUAUUUGUCAGUGAUUGGGUCCAAUCAUUGUUGAUUUCCGAAGGAAAGAAAGUUGAGAGUGGUGGAGAGAAGCAUCAAGCUGAAGUUAUAUAUACGUAUUUGGAUUUAAGAUGCUGGGAGAUUUUUAAAUUCUGUUUGGAGGAGUCUCUGAAAUUAACUGUUUCUUUAACUUUCUCACGGAACCUUUUACGCCCUAUAUGUUGGAUUGCAAGAAGUGCACUGUCCUUAUUGAACAAAACAUUUAUUGGUGAAGGGUUACAAUUGUACACUACUGUGCUUGAUUGUAUUUCAUCCCAAGAAGGCUUCUCAAAUGAAAAUUUAGACGUGUGGAUUACAACUGUAAGUUCAGUUCUUGACCUUGGACUUAAAUUUUACAGUGAAGCUCUUGUUAGUGGCAAUGAGGGUGUAUUUGUUUCCAAUUCUUGUGCUUGGUGCUUGAGCCAUUUGCCAGGUUUUUAAGGGCUCACGCAGCUCGGAAAGAUGGAUUUCGUGAUUUUAGUAAUAAGCUCCUUGAGCCUCUGUUGCGUCUCUUGGGUCUCUUGCAUCUCCAGAUUGGUGGAAGUAAUCCCGGUUGGACGGGAAACUUACUGAAGCUUGUUGAAGAUGGAUUAUCUCAUGGGCUAUAUCACCUGCUCCACAAUGAUGGGUUUUUGAGCUUAU